GAAUAAGCUUUGAAAGCUUCGCUCCCUGCUAAGUAUUAUCAGUGCUGUUAAAUCAGCUGGUGGCUUGAGAAACAUAAAUAUUUAUCAAAAUUACAACUUCGCAAAUAUUUGUAUACACACUUCUCAAUCUCUCGCCGUCCAGCUUGGAAAAGCCUGCCGGCAGAUAUCAUCAAUCCAACUGCCAAAUCUGCAACUGAGUUUUUAACUAUGCCUGGAGUGUGACCCAAAGGCAUUUGACGGCGCUUAAAUUCCGCUACAUCGACGUAAUCAAUGCCCGACGACAUGGUUGAAACCGCUUUCAAUUGCUUGCCGGCGGCGUCAAGUAUCUCGGCAUUGAGCGGUUGGUAGUGGGCCCAGUAAACGGCAUCCACUCCGGGUAAUUUGCGUAUUAUUUCGGCACGCGACGGCGGUACACUUUCGCACACUAUUGUUUCACAUCCACGCUGUUGGAGAAGCUCCAAGGCUACUUUGGGUACCUCCGGAUGGGAGACGAGAACUUUGUGAAGACGUCGCGUUGUGCUGGCCAUUUUUAUAAAAAAGUUUUUUGAACCUGUUUAUAUCUACCUUAGGAGAUAGUUCAGACGACACUAGAUUCACUCAACAGCGCUAAGCUUUUACAUUGGUAUAUUCUAAUUUAGUCAAUUCAAACACAUACAUACUUUUACAUACAAAUAUUUGCUACAGUGGCGGCCAUAGAAAGAUACCUCCAACAUGGUUCUUUAUUUACUGUGAAAAUGUGUUAAAUUAGAGUAAGGGUUUCAUAGAAGUUGGUAAUUGGACAAAUGGCGCCGCCCACCUUAAGGGGAUAUUUUAUACCUCAGGAAAUAAUCGACUAAUUUCAACGAUAUUUACUGCGUGACAUUAUUUUAUAAUUCGUAUGUUACGUUGUGAAAAUAGGCGACAUCGUACAACAACCGCGCAUAAUACCAUAUAUAAAACUUUUAAAUUCCUAUAAAAUAUACAUAAAAACACCAAUAAAGUAAUAGAAAUUAAACUUUGAGCAAA
Molecule: long non-coding RNA, 1005 nt
Organism: Bactrocera oleae (olive fruit fly)
Lineage: Eukaryota; Metazoa; Arthropoda; Insecta; Diptera; Tephritidae
Source: RefSeq, a predicted model, not a curated record